This 905-nucleotide ribosomal RNA is filed under the name uncultured bacterium. Its description in RNAcentral is "bacterial SSU rRNA". It matches the Rfam family "Bacterial small subunit ribosomal RNA", at positions 8 to 916 of the family's 1533-position model. The record is from RNAcentral.
AGAGUUUGAUCAUGGCUCAGGAUGAACGCUAGCGGCAGGCCUAAUACAUGCAAGUCGAACGGGGUGUUGUAACAAUACAACAUUUAGCGGCGCACGGGUGCGUAACGCGUAUGCAACCUACCUUAAACUGGGGGAUAGCCUUCCGAAAGGGAGAUUAAUACCGCAUAAUACUAUUUGAUGGCAUCUGAAGAUAGUUAAAGAUUUAUUGGUUUAAGAUGGGCAUGCGUGCCAUUAGCUAGUUGGUGAGGUAACGGCUCACCAAGGCUACGAUGGCUAGGGGUUCUGAGAGGAUGAUCCCCCACACUGGUACUGAGAUACGGACCAGACUCCUACGGGAGGCAGCAGUAGGGAAUAUUGGGCAAUGGACGCAAGUCUGACCCAGCCAUGCCGCGUGCAGGAUGAAGGCCUUCUGGGUUGUAAACUGCUUUUAUCUAGGAAGAAAACGCCCAUGCGUGGGAAACUGACGGUACUAGAUGAAUAAGCACCGGCUAACUCCGUGCCAGCAGCCGCGGUAAUACGGAGGGUGCAAGCGUUGUCCGGAUUUAUUGGGUUUAAAGGGUGCGUAGGCGGCCCGGUAAGUCAGUGGUGAAAGCCUCCAGCUCAACUGGAGAACUGCCAUUGAUACUGCCGGGCUUGAGUACAGACGAGGUUGGCGGAAUUGAUUGUGUAGCGGUGAAAUGCAUAGAUACAAUCAAGAACUCCGAUUGCGUAGGCAGCUAACUAGGCUGUAACUGACGCUGAGGCACGAAAGCGUGGGGAGCGAACAGGAUUAGAUACCCUGGUAGUCCACGCUGUAAACGAUGAUUACUCGAUGUUGGCGAUAAACUGUCAGCGUCUUAGCGAAAGCGUUAAGUAAUCCACCUGAGGAGUACGCCCGCAAGGGUGAAACUCAAAUGAAUUGACGG